UUUUUUUUUUUUUUUUUGCUUUCAAGUAUACAAUUUCAAAUAUACAAAUUUGCAUUGGCCAAAUAUUACAUAUUACAAUCCAUUUGGGUACUUGUUUAAAGACAAAAGAAUGUUUUUUUAAAUGAUAUUCUCAAAUAAAUGCUCUAUAAAGCUUAACGUUCUUCCAAGAUCAAACAUUUUUUUCUUUAAAAUCUUCAUUAUGACUUUCAUUAACAAAUCUUUUCAUCAGAUAGUACAAAGUAAACACCAUUUAAGCCUUGGAUCAAUGGUUACAAAUUCUAAGUAAAUUAGAGGACUUUUAUGGUACUGUAACAGCUUUAAAUGAAUAUUAGCAUUUCUACUUAUUUUGCUAUGGUGAAGUGAAUGGAAUCUUUUUUUGGCUGGAAGAUAUCAGAGUAGGUUCAAAGUCUAGUAUGUAAUUUUAAUGGUAAAGGCUAAAAAAAUCCUAAUAUGCACAAUCAAUUAAGAUAAUAAUUCCUUAGUGAUAACUGUGAGAGGAAAAUAAAAAUUUUAAGAAGUAUUUAUUGUAUUAUGAGUGUUAUGAAUUGCUAAUUUUACCCCCUCUCCCAUUUCAAAACAUCAGGCCAUCUACUAAUCCAUAAAUAUUGAUGUUUCACAUACUUCAUAGAGUAGCUUAAACAUACCAGCAUAAGAAAUAAUUAGUAUUACAUAGUAAUUUCCUUUGCCAUAGGAAUAAAUGUUGGACAAAGUCUGGAAACAUUUUAUUUUCCAAUUUGAAUUACAGUAAUUUUGCCACAGACCACAGCACUAGUGCAUGUGUUACUUUAGACAUGCUCUAAGAACAAAACAAAAAAAUUACUGCAAAAAUACAUGUCACCAAUGUGGAACACACUCAGAUUUGUAUAAAAGUACUGAACUAAUAUCCCAAAAAGAGGUAUAUGUAAACAGUACAUAAGGAAGAAAUAGUUUUAAUAUGAAACAGUCAUUUAAGUCACAUACAUCAUGAUAAGAAGCAGGACUUUCUUUUAUAAAAGAUAUUUUAACUAACAAGCAACAUCAUCUAUAUCACCUACAGAACAAGGAAAGUACAAGUAUUUAGAGUAAGUUUUAAUAUAAUUGCAAGUAAUGGAUUUUGACAAACUAUGACAAAGAUUAUCCAUUGAGUUUCAUUAAAAACUUUAAACUAAAUAUAGGCCUCUGAUGUAUUCAUGUCUGAGAUAGCCAUUUUUCAUUUCCCCUAGACUCUAUGUCCUGGGAGAUGUUAAUGCCAGCCCUAGUCUCCUUACUCCAGGAGUACCUCUAAACUUCCACCUCUGUACCAAGAGUUAGAAAAAUGCAGAUGCGACUUCUAUACUGUUCUACUGGAUAAACAGAAUAGGCAAAAGGGGCAAGUUACUAACAUUUGGAAGUGAGAAAACUCUGAGUUCAAAAGUUGAGGAAAGAAAACUGUGAAAAGUCCAAACAAUUAAAGGAAAUUGGGAAGUACUCUCAAGAUAGCAUCCAUCAAUUCAAUAAAAAGACUGCUUCCCACAAUGCCUGAAAUGUGGUCUUAUUGUUGGAAAUCUUAGAUAUUAGAUAAAAAUCUAUUCUGAAUAAGCAGCCUUAAAAAGGAAGUUUAAUCCCACUUUCUUCACUAUCUUCAUUUGCAUUUUGGUGGAAAACAUUUUUCCCUUAAACCUGGCCAGCCAUAACCACAGGAAAAAAAAAUGGGAGUUCUAAGUGGAGGAAAGAUGAAAUUUUGAAGCACAGAGCAUCCAUUAGGGGAAAAGGCAAGUUGGCUUGUAUUGUAUUCCGCCAGAGGGUUUAGGAUGGAAAGAGGGCAACUAGGAAACACUAACACCAAGAAACUUAACUCUCCUGAAUCACAUUAGGAAAAAGGAAAGACCUCUGUUUCUUUCUACCUCCUACAUUGACUGGUUCUCUAAAGAAAACUGAGCGCUGGUUUACUACUGGUUAACUACAUUAUGGUUUAAAUAAGCUUUUAUGAGCUUUCCUAACAAUCUAAUUAUUUUAUAUAACGUUCCAAACUACUAUUUACAAAUGAACUUUGGGAGCCUGGAUGCUCUUAAUUGAACUUUUUAAUUAAAAAAAACUAAAAUAGCACAAAUGUUCAUGCAUAUGAAACCUCUAUACACUGUAAGAAAAUGAAAUCCAAAAAUUCUUUAGAGCUCCCUUAAAAAAAUCAUUACUUACAUAUUUUUUCCUGUUAAAUACAAUUACUAUAGUAUGCUGGACAAUAAGUACUAGCAUUUUUAAUAUGUUCAAGACAAACAAGUUUGAAAGAAUACUAGAUAAGGACUCCUGAUACUUAUUUGGAUGAUUAAAGUCAGCAGAAUUCAUGGUGACCCACACUAUUGAGGUUUUUUCCUACCAGUAGGCAGAGUUGGAAGUCUUUAAAAAAAAUGAUUUCUUUAUAUUGUGCUAAUCUAUGAAGAAUAAACCCUACUACAGGAAAAUCUUGCUUUAUGUACAUAAUCUCCUAAUCUGGAUAACAAGAAUCCUAAUAGCAGUACUAUAAAAGUAUUUCACACCAAAGGAAAACACUGUUCACAAAACUAAUUCUAAACACUCUAUCUGAAUAAUUUUUCUUUUAUUCAGCUAAGCUGUUUCAGCAUUAGUGAGUCCAGUAGCAUCUAGAACAAAUGGACUAGGAAUUCUCUACUGAAUUGAAUAAAGCAAGUUCUGGGAAAGGAACUGACGAUUUAAAACUAUCAGCAACAACCUAGCUGUCAUGAGAAAGCCUCAUUGCUGAGAGUUAGUCAAGUUAAACUUAGACAAAACUUGAGAAUAUAAGAGAAACUUCACGAUUUCCUUCUUAGUUGUGUAUAUGUGCCUUUGUGUAUAUGUGUGCAUGUGAGAUGAGGCCUUUCAUGAAGGAAAAGGAUUACAUGAAAAAAGGUGCAGUGCUACUGGAAGAUUAUUCCACCUAUGUGUAUUUCUUUCCAUUACUUAAUAUUUUUAAAUGUUCAGGGCAACUCAUCACUUGUCCUAACAAAGCCAUACCAAUUUGUAUAAUAGCCUUCUUUGGGUCAAAUUGAACAUUCUUAUAGUUCCUCAAUUUUCCUAUCAAAAACCAUCUACGUAGUUUUUGACUUAGUGUCACAUAGAGACAAAUGUCG
Molecule: long non-coding RNA, 3080 nt
Filed under: Canis lupus familiaris (dog)
Lineage: Eukaryota; Metazoa; Chordata; Mammalia; Carnivora; Canidae
Description: lncRNA (ENSCAFG00000053369.1, ENSCAFG00845028895.1)
Source: RNAcentral